UUCUGUUUUGUGUACUGUGUUAGUUGUUUUGUGCAACUAAUGCACCAGUUGCACCCCCUAAGGACAGCCGUGACUAUUGCUGUCCACAGCAGCCCCCUGUCAAGCCACGGUGCUGGGUAGCUGGAAGGUUCUUGUAGACGGCACGACUGUACGGAAUAAAACACAGACCCAGCUGAAGGUGACGAGCAAGCCGGCAGUAUGCAGCUAAGGCCAGAACCAGGAGUGGAGUCACUAGCAAGAAACCCACAACCAGCAGAGCUACACAUCCACCAUCAGUCAGUAGAUCCGAACAGUACAGUGAUGAACCCUGUGACCGCACCUGAAAAGAGAGACAUUUGACUGAUGUGGACCUGUGUGGGGUAAAGGAUGAGUGGUGGAAUGCAUGUAGGUGUAGCUGAGGAGGGUCAAAGAGAAAUUAAGUGUCCCUGGACGAAUGCAUCUCUGAGGUGUGGACAGACAAAGAACACAGACACUGGACAAGAAUGUCUGCUAACAGCAUAUAUGCUCGUUUUCUUUAGUGGGUUGAUCGUUUGUUACUUCUAAGCUGUUUAAACUCUCAUUCUGACGGC
Molecule: long non-coding RNA, 569 nt
Organism: Sinocyclocheilus grahami
Lineage: Eukaryota; Metazoa; Chordata; Actinopteri; Cypriniformes; Cyprinidae
Exons: 3
Source: RefSeq, a predicted model, not a curated record